RNAcentral lists this long non-coding RNA (1480 nucleotides) under Ficedula albicollis (Collared flycatcher). RNAcentral's name for it is "lncRNA (ENSFALG00000025552.1)". Lineage: Eukaryota; Metazoa; Chordata; Aves; Passeriformes; Muscicapidae. The record is from RNAcentral.
AUGCUCUUACAUGCAAAGAGUGCCGAGGAACGAAGAGACCAGAAGGAAAACAAAACCAAGCCAAACGAACUCACGGGUCCACAAGGAUACGCUGGCUGCAGUACACACCUUGAAACUUUGUGGGUGUCUCAGUUGUGCCACAGCAGUUUGAGCAGGCAGUGCUUAGCCAGGACUCCUGGGCCAGCCUUUUCAGGGGCCACAGUGAAACACGGAAUCAUCUCGGGGAUGCUGUUCGGCCCCAGGUGCCGUUUACUGCUACAUUUAGAGGUGUUUGAAAUCUCCUUUGGCAUCCUACAAUAAUCUUCAGGUGCCCUUGUAGUUAUCUUUGAGGAUUAUUUUAUACUGGAUGAAACAGAGUGGCGUUAAUGCACAGAUGAAAGACUAACCUGCAAUUAAACUGUGGAAUCAUUCACGCACCUUAAUGUCCUAAGCAUGUGAGAGUUUCAGGAUUUAGAAACAAACUUGGUUUUUAAAUCUUCUUUCCCUGGCUCCCUUGAUCUUUGUUUUUCUCACUUAAAAAGGGAAGAGGAACAUAUAGAAGAAUAAAGCUGGAAAAUGGGAAUGUAAAGGCAACGUCAAUUCUUUAAAAUAUUUCAUCCUGAACAGAAUUUUAUUAAAUUCCUUUCAUUCCUGGGGCUCUACAAACCCCAAAUGACUUUGUUCAGGCCUUGCAUGGCAUGAAAUGUGCCCGCAAGAGAUGUGGCAUGUUAGAUAUUUUUAAUCUUGAAUCUAUUGAAGGGUCCUAGGUAAAUAUCACAGUCCUAGCUUCUGAAUCUCACUCAGCAAUGGGUGUUAUACCUUCUGGGAAAGGAUAUAAAUAACCUUACAAGACAAGAAAAAAGAAAGGUAGCCUGGAAAAGUCUUUUGUUCCAGAGAGUGAAAUGGUAGCACUGUUUAUAUUGACUAACACAUUCCCAUCUUCUAAAUCAUCUGUCAUUUCAGAUUUUGAAAAGAGCCUGAAAGUUGCAACAAAACAUACGUGAGUACAAGUCAUGAAUCUUGUUCUUGGUGUCAUAAUUUUGUACUGAUACAGUUUAUUUUCUGAGAUAAUAUUGGGAGGUGAGAAUGAGAGUUGUAUGGAGAAUCUAUAGGAUGCUGAUAAGUUGUUAAUAGCAUUUUGAACAGAGAAAAUAUUUUCUAGCAUGUUUCUAUGCCUUAUUGCAUGCUAAAUCCUGGAAUUUGUAAUUUAGAAAUCAAUAAUGAAGUUUUUUUCACAAAAUGAAAUUACAGAUAAUAUAUUUUAUUCCAUAUGCACAAUUUUCAUCUGGGUAAACAACAGCUGUGGCCAAACACCUGGAGUUACACUGGACAGCAUUUCAGCAGAAAUGUUCCAGCACUAUUAUAAAUCUGUGAAGAGGCACACCCUCUCUGAUAUACACUGUUUUUUCUAGACUCAAGUGGUUUAUUGUGCAGCUGGUUAUCUGAAACCUUCCCAAAGUAGUCCAAGCUAACAUAUCAGAAAAAAUAUUCUAUGUUUUCU